GACGAACGCUGGCGGCGUGCUUAACACAUGCAAGUCGAGCGGUAAGGCCCUUUCGGGGGUACACGAGCGGCGAACGGGUGAGUAACACGUGGGUGACCUGCCCUCAGCUCUGGGAUAAGCCUGGGAAACCGGGUCUAAUACCGGAUAUGACUCCAUGACGCAUGUUGUGGGGUGGAAAGCCUUGUGCGGCUGAGGAUGGGCCCGCGGCCUAUCAGCUUGUUGGUGGGGNGAUGGCCUACCAAGGCGACGACGGGUAGCCGGCCUGAGAGGGCGACCGGCCACACUGGGACUGAGACACGGCCCAGACUCCUACGGGAGGCAGCAGUGGGGAAUCCUGCGCAAUGGGCGAAAGCCUGACGCAGCGACGCCGCGUGAGGGAUGACGGCCUGGUGUACU
Molecule: ribosomal RNA, 396 nt
Filed under: uncultured bacterium
Lineage: Bacteria
Description: bacterial SSU rRNA
Rfam family: Bacterial small subunit ribosomal RNA
Source: RNAcentral